GACCAGGAACCAGGGAGUGCUUGCACUCUUGAGACUACAAAGCCUGCCUCCCACAGCCCUUGGUUGCUCCCUCCGUUCCAGCAUGCAAUCCCCAUAAGGCCCUGCAAGAUGUCUUGAUCUACAAGGCUAAGAAUGGAUCUUGGUCUUGGGCUGCCUGUUGUUCAGUGUCUGGUUUUCUAGUUGGUUAAGAGCCUUCCAUUGACAACGACAGAAGAAACAUGUAGCUUUAACAGCUCUGCCCAAUCCCCUAAACAGCAUCAGAUGCCAAAGACCCGAAGAUACUUCAUGGGAUAAAAACACCUCUAAUACAAUUUGCAGUAUUUUAAACUAAGAAAGACACUCAUUAAUUGAUUUUAGUGGAGGAAGAGGGCAGUUUUGGGAGAAGGCAGAAAUUGGUGUUGGGAAGCAGGAGGAAGAGCUCAUCCAUCUUGGAGUGUUGAUGUUCGUAUUCAUAUAUAAACCACAGUGAAGGGCAGCCCAGGUGGCUCAACCCACAGCCACAGCCACAGCCGCCUUCAGCCCAGGGAGUGAUCCUGGAGACCCAGGAUUGAGUUCCACGUCUAGCUCCCUGCACAGAGCCUGCUUCUACC
Molecule: long non-coding RNA, 590 nt
Organism: Canis lupus familiaris (dog)
Lineage: Eukaryota; Metazoa; Chordata; Mammalia; Carnivora; Canidae
Exons: 5
Source: RefSeq, a predicted model, not a curated record